RNAcentral lists this ribosomal RNA (267 nucleotides) under uncultured bacterium. RNAcentral describes it as "partial 16S ribosomal RNA". It matches the Rfam family "Bacterial small subunit ribosomal RNA", at positions 793 to 1055 of the family's 1533-position model. The record is from RNAcentral.
GUCCACGCCCUAAACGAUGUACACUAGUUGUUGCCUUGCUAGACAAGGCAGUAAUGCACCUAACGGAUUAAGUGUACCGCCUGGGGAGUACGGUCGCAAGAUUAAAACUCAAAGGAAUAGACGGGGACCCGCACAAGCGGUGGAGCAUGUGGUUUAAUUCGACGAUACGCGAAGAACCUUACCUGGUCUUGACAUACUAAGAACCUUUAAGAGAUUAGAGGGUGCCUGCUUGCAGGAGCUUAGAUACAGGUGCUGCACGGCUGUCGU